RNAcentral lists this ribosomal RNA (554 nucleotides) under uncultured bacterium. RNAcentral describes it as "bacterial SSU rRNA". It matches the Rfam family "Bacterial small subunit ribosomal RNA", at positions 959 to 1509 of the family's 1533-position model. The record is from RNAcentral.
CGACGAAGAACCUUACCAGGUCUUGACAUCCCGUUGACCGCUAUGGAGACAUUAGGUUUUCCCUUCGGGGACAAUGGUGACAGGUGGUGCAUGGUUGUCGUCAGCUCGUGUCGUGAGAUGUUGGGUUAAGUCCCGCAACGAGCGCAACCCUUGAUCUUAGUUGCCAUCAUUUAGUUGGGCACUCUAAGGUGACUGCCGGUGAUAAACCGGAGGAAGGUGGGGAUGACGUCAAAUCAUCAUGCCCCUUAUGACCUGGGCUACACACGUGCUACAAUGGACGGUACAAACGGUUGCCAACCCGCGAGGGGGGAGCUAAUCCGAUAAAACCGUUCUCAGUUCGGAUUGUAGGCUGCAACUCGCCUACAUGAAGCCGGAAUCGCUAGUAAUCGCGGAUCAGCAUGCCGCGGUGAAUACGUUCCCGGGCCUUGUACACACCGCCCGUCACACCACGAGAGUUUGUAACACCCGAAGUCGGUGAGGUAACCUUUUGGAGCCAGCCGCCGAAGGUGGGAUAGAUGAUUGGGGUGAAGUCGUAACAAGGUAAGCGUAGAUGA